RNAcentral lists this long non-coding RNA (3719 nucleotides) under Homo sapiens (human). RNAcentral describes it as "non-protein coding lnc-ARL1-3:1". Lineage: Eukaryota; Metazoa; Chordata; Mammalia; Primates; Hominidae. The record is from RNAcentral.
UCAAAGAGCUCCUUAAAAGAUAAUUGACUACUUAAAGUGAAAAUGACAACAAUGUACUGUGUGGUUUAAAAUGAAUGGAGAGGCAAAACCUAUGGCAAAAAUCCAACCAGAUUUAAGUCCUAUGACACAAAAAUAAAAGUAUGCAAUUUUAAUAAUGGGAAGGUGUGGUGGUGUACUCCAGCCUAGGCAACAAAGUGAGCCCCUGUCUCAAAAACAAAAAACAAAAAAAACCUGACAGCUAUAUUAGAUCCAAAGUGACUGGUGGCCAGGCAUGGUGCUCGAUAUCACAUUCUGGGUGCCCAGGCUUCUGUUUAGCCAGCAAAGGGAAAUAUCUGGAAGAAAAAACAUUGUAGUAAUCAUCUUAUUCUCAAUAUGUUCACUUCUAGGAGUAAUAAAUGAGACAUGGUCUUUGCCCUGAAGGAGCUGUGGAUAAUACGUUAUGAAGAUAGAUGAAUACAACAAAGGCAGUAUGUGAUGACAGGGCCUUACAGAGCUGGAAAGGGCAUGCAGGAAGAAGAGACUGCUAUGCUGGGGCUGUGGUGACUAGAACCAGAGCAGCUAAGAGAGGGGUCUGGGACAGUCCCAGCUUACAUUGGCUGUUUUGACUUACUUAUUACAACUCUUUUCAACCUCAGGAGUUUUUCAGUUUGGACAAAAAAGUACAUGUUCACCCUAAUUAAUAAGUUUUUGCUGUCCUGAGUUCAGCUAUUUCUGAGAAAAUUUAAACUUACUUAUAAGCUAGUAAAAUGCUAGACUUCUCUAUAGAUGAAAAAUCUGUUUUAAUUUCUGAUUGAUACUAUGUAAACUGCAACUACACUUCAAAAUCUAAAUUUUUUUAAUUAAAAAGUAACAUUCCCAUUGAAGGGGUUCUGAAAUAUUCAUUCGUUCUUCCACACACAACUUCAUAUGCAUAUCUAUUGUUAUGUGGAUUCCAAGGGAAGUCAACACUUUUAUAGAUUUCUUCAGGUGAGUGUUAAGUAUAAAAGGGAAAAAAAGGUUCUGCUGCCUAACUCUUCCAUUGCUAUAUGGCUUCUAUUUACCCAACCAAAAAAUGAGAAAUUGCAGAAAAGAAUGAAGUGGCAUCCAACAAUGUGGCUCAAUACCUUCAAUAAGGACCCAAUGAAUAUAAAAAUGAAUCUCUAUUGUAAAGUCUUCCUGGAUGAAAGUCCUUCAUGGCUUAUUUGCAUAGAAAUGACAAAACUAUACAACAUUUCUCAAGUAAGCCUAUGAAGUGUCGCUUACAAAUGUCCAAUGAUAAAGAUAUAAAAUUGCUGUGUCAAAUUGGGGAAUAAAUGUAGAGAACAUACUAUUAGUAAAAUAAACAAGUUUUCCUGAGGAAGACAAUGUCACGGUUUUUGGUUUGUUUCUGAAGACUAGUAACAUGAAGAAAUGUUCAUGACAUAAAGAUACAUGAAAAAAACAAAAUCAAAAGCCAGUACAGUAUGAUUCCAAUCUUGUAAAAACCAAGACUAUGAUUUUAACAUCACUGAAUCAAUAAUAAAACCUUUUCUGACCAUGAGAGCUGAAUGUACAUUUAGAUGGAGUUUCACAAAGAAGACAAUGGUCUAGAAAAUCUAGAAAGCUUGUGAGGUUUUCCUGAUUUUCAGUGGGAACUGGGAGAAAGACAUAGAAUGCCAAUUACAAGUCAGCAUUUAUUUUUAAGCAAGCAUGCAGAAAAUGAUAAUAUUUAUGUGAUGAUAUAACUAUCUGGUGUGUUUCACAUUCUGUUUCUCCCUUUGCCAGGCCAAAUCAAACUGCUGACAUAAUUAUUACAUAUAUUGGAAGAACAUCUCUAUCAAUUCUAAUACUUAAAAUUUUCAAGUUUUAAUCAAACUGUAAAAAUUAUUAAAAAGUAUUAGUUUUAGCUGUAAUACAUACUCUAAAAUUUUCAUUACUUUGCAAGAUGUUAUUUUACCUAUUUUUCCUGUUUAAUUAUUAUAAAAAAUUCAAACAGUCCAAAGGAUGUAUUAUGAAAAGUCUCCUCUCCCUGCUCUGGUCUACCCAAACCUCCACGUGCUAUGGCCACAUUGUUAACAGUUCUCAUGUGUCCUUCUGGACAGUUUCUAUUUCAUUUCAUAUUUAUACACAUAGACACAAACUUUCCUGGAUCACACUAUAUAUACUGUCUAGCAAUUUAUCUUUUUAUCUUUUUUUUUUUUUUGAGACAGGGUCUCGCUUUCACCCAGGCUAGAAUGCAGUGGCAUGAUCAUGGCUCAUUGUAGCCUCAACUUUGUUGGCUCAAGCAAUCCUCCCACCUCAGCCUCCAAGUAGCUGGAACUAAAGGCAUGCGCCACAUGCCCAGCCAAUUUUUUGAUUUUCAGUAGAGACAAGCCCUCACUACGUUGUCCAGACUGGUCUCGAAUUCCUGAGGUCAAGCAAUCCUGCCUCUGCCUCCCAAAGUACUGGGAUUACAGGCGUGAGCCACUGUGCAUGGCUACAUUUUUCUUUAAACUAUGUAUUUUGAGAUCUUUCCUUGCUUUUACUCAGCUGCCUCAUUCUCUAACUGUACCAAAAGUAGUUCACUGUAUGGAAAGACCAUAAAUUACACUAUUAGUUUCCUGGACUGCUUUAACCAGAUUCAUCUAAAACACUGCCCUUUUUAAAGAAGGAAAAAAGAAAGGUUAUACCUUGCGUUUCUGCUCCAGAUACUGAUCAGUUUCAGCAGAGGAGUAGGAGAAUAUUGACUCUCAGAUCCAAGCCUGCUGAUCUAGGAGACAAAGUAAAAAACAGAAUACCAAAUACAUAUACCAAAUUAUAGAAAAACCACAAAUAACUAACAAGUACAGAAAUCACAGCACAGGAUGAAAAAGACAAGGGACAGAGAUGAACAUCCAAAUGACACAAUAAGAAAAAGUAUAAAGAGAUCCAAAAGAACAUCUACAUAGGAAAAAUGGCAAAGGUGAUGCAUGGAAGUGCUAGACACCAGAAAGGAAAUGGUAUUUUAGGUUUCAGAGUGUUGGAAAUGACUGGGACCUCAAACACCUAGAAACAUUUCCUAAAAUCAAAUCUCUCCUUCAGUCUAUACCUAUACCAGUUACCAUCACCAAGGGGUUACAACCAGAGAAAUCAAAAUAGGAAGUAUGUAAUAAAAACACCUGGGUGUUUUCCCUCACACUUGUCCAAAGCCAGAGGCAACGCUAUGUGAGGUGCUAUAAAAGUCAUGUUACAGGCCGGGCACAGUGGCUCACGCCUGUAAUCCCAGCACUUUGGGAGGCCAAGGCAGGCGGAUCACCUGAGGUCAGGAGUUCAAGACCAGCCUGGCCAACAUGGCGAAACUCCAUCUCUACUAAAAAUACAAAAAUUAGCUGGACAUUGUGGUGCAUGGCUGUAAUCCCAGCUACUUGGGAGGCUGAGGCAGGAGAAUCUCUUUCUUGAAUCCAGGAGGCAGAGGUUGCAGUAAGCAAGACUCUAUCUCAAAAAAACAGUUAUGUUACAGUUGCUUAAGAGACACAUUCAUAUUCAACUGAGCCUUAAGUGUAAAUGCCAUGGUACAGCAGAAACUAACUCUUGAGUUUUAGGUGGUAGUGAAGGCAAAGAAAAGUGUUCUAAAAACUUCCAGAAAGAAGGGCUCGAUGUAAAAGGAAAGACCCAGGUAAGCAUUCAUGUCUGGGUGGUAGCUAUGUUGGUGAGUUAGUAAUAAAGGAAAAAGCAGAACGUACAUAGGCAGAUGUAGAAAUUGAGGUUUACCUGGGGCCAAACUGCACCAUGAAACACAGCAU